Molecule: long non-coding RNA, 426 nt
Organism: Folsomia candida
Lineage: Eukaryota; Metazoa; Arthropoda; Collembola; Entomobryomorpha; Isotomidae
Exons: 2
Source: RefSeq, a predicted model, not a curated record
GACUGGGGGAGAUCUGCGUAUCUGCUGCGACCCAGAGAGACAAAAAAUGUAUUCGAUUGAACAUUGUCCACGAAUAUAUUCACAUAUGUAUCCUUCAUUUAAUUCUCGCAGUGGUGAUCUUGAUUGACAUGAUAAGCCAGAUUAACUUGCCCAACGAGUAACCAUAUGCCAUCCCAUUAUGGUACGAAUUUGUUAUAGCGUGACCUUUGUCCAAUGUAAAUACGACUCGAUUAAUGUCAGAUACACGAGUAUUAAUCAUUAAUAAAUAUUUAUUAUCGAAAUUGCACAAACGUGUCAACAUAUUUAAUCCUCCGUCACAGAAUUAGAAUUUAAGCAAUCCGUUUUAUUUGUCACAGGUGCAUAUUGAUUUUUGUGAACAAUUUGACAGACGCUGAGAGAAAGGAAAGAUUAUGAACAGUCAUAAAA